Molecule: transfer RNA, 81 nt
Filed under: Eucalyptus erythrocorys (illyarie)
Lineage: Eukaryota; Viridiplantae; Streptophyta; Magnoliopsida; Myrtales; Myrtaceae
Also listed under: 1 other name
Description: tRNA-Leu
Rfam family: tRNA
About the family: Transfer RNA (tRNA) molecules are approximately 80 nucleotides in length. Their secondary structure includes four short double-helical elements and three loops (D, anti-codon, and T loops).
Source: RNAcentral
GGGGAUAUGGCGAAAUUGGUAGACGCUACGGACUUUCCGUCGACUUUCAAAAUCGUGAGGGUUCAAGUCCCUCUAUCCCCA